GACCUGCGUCAUUGGGACUGAGACACUGCCCAGACACCUACGGGUGGCUGCAGUCGAGAAUUUUUGGCAAUGGGGGAAACCCUGACCAAGCGAUGCCGCGUGCGGGAUGAAGGCCUUCGGGUUGUAAACCGCUGUCAGUGGGGAGAAAAAGUAGGUGGGUUCUCCCAUCUAUUUGAUCUAUCCGCAGAGGAAGUGAGGGCUAAGCUCGUGCCAGCAGCCGCGGUAAGACGAGCCUCACAAACGUUAUUCGGAAUUACUGGGCUUAAAGGGUGCGUAGGCGGCGCGGAAAGUUGGGUGUGAAAUCCCUCGGCUUAACCGAGGAACUGCGCCCAAAACUACCGUGCUCGAGGAAGAUAGAGGUGAGCGGAACUUACGGUGGAGCGGUGAAAUGCGUUGAUAUCGUAAGGAACACCCGUGGCGAAAGCGGCUCACUGGGUCUUUUCUGACGCUGAUGCACGAAAGCUAGGGGAGCAAACGGGAUUAGAUACCCCGGUAGUCCUAGCCGUAAACUAUGAGUACUGAAUUGGAGGGCCCUCCAUAGCCCUCCAGUUGAAGCGAAAGUGUUAAGUACUCCGCCUGGGGAGUAUGGUCGCAAGGCNGAAACUCAAAG
This 610-nucleotide ribosomal RNA is filed under the name uncultured bacterium. Its description in RNAcentral is "bacterial SSU rRNA". It matches the Rfam family "Bacterial small subunit ribosomal RNA", at positions 302 to 906 of the family's 1533-position model. The record is from RNAcentral.